AUACAGAUCACCUGGGGGUCUUGUUAAAAUGCAGAUUCUGAUUCAGAUGGUCUAGACUGAAGCCUGAGAUAUUGUAUUUCUAGCACACUCCUAGGAGAUUCCACA
RNAcentral lists this microRNA precursor (105 nucleotides) under Marmota monax (woodchuck). The record is from RNAcentral. Lineage: Eukaryota; Metazoa; Chordata; Mammalia; Rodentia; Sciuridae.